Molecule: ribosomal RNA, 231 nt
Filed under: uncultured bacterium
Lineage: Bacteria
Description: partial 16S ribosomal RNA
Rfam family: Bacterial small subunit ribosomal RNA
Source: RNAcentral
UGGGCAACCUGCCCCUAGCUCUGGGAUAACUCCGGGGAACCGGGGCUAAUACCGGAUAUGACCACGGUGGACAUCCACUGUGGUGGAAAGCUCCGACGGCUAGGGAUGGGCCCGCGGCCUAUCAGCCUGUUGGUGGGGUAACGCCCCACCAAGGCGACGACGGGUAGCCGGCCUGAGAGGGCGACCGGCCACACUGGGACUGAGACACGGCCCAGACUCCUACGGGAGGCA